UACAGGGACUGCAAGCGUUAUUCGGAUUCACUGGGCGUAAAGGGUGCGCAGGCGGCCGUGUGUGUCAGGUGUGAAAGCCCGGGGCUUAACCCCGGAAUUGCGCCUGAAACUACAUGGCUAGAGCAUUGGAGAGGGUAGCGGAAUUCACGGUGUAGCAGUGAAAUGCGCAGAUAUCGUGAGGAACACCGGUGGCGAAGGCAGCUCACUGGGACGGUACUGACGCUGAGACGCGAAAGCGUGGGGAGCAAACAGG
Molecule: ribosomal RNA, 253 nt
Filed under: uncultured bacterium
Lineage: Bacteria
Description: partial 16S ribosomal RNA
Rfam family: Bacterial small subunit ribosomal RNA
Source: RNAcentral